GAUUAACGCUGGCGGCGUGCCUAACACAUGCCAGUCGAGCGGCAGCGCGUUUUACACUGAAUUCUGGAAGCUUCUAGUUGAAAGAGAAGAUUUAUUCAAGAAUUUUGUGUAAAAUGUCGGCGAGCGGCGGACGGCUGAGUAACGCGUGGGAACGUACCCCAAAGUGAGGGAUAACGCAUCGAAAGGUGUGCUAAUACCGCAUAUGGUCUUCGGAUUAAAGCCUUCGGGCGCUUUGGGAACGGCCUGCGUAAGAUUAGAUAGUUGGUGGGGUAAUGGCCUACCAAGUCGACGAUCUGUAACUGGUUGGAGAGGAUGAUCAGUCAGACUGGAACUGAGACACGGUCCAGACUCCUACGGGAGGCAGCAGUGAGGAAUCUUCCACAAUGGGCGAAAGCCUGAUGGAGCAACGCCGCGUGCAGGAUGAAGGCCUUCGGGUUGUAAACUGCUUUUAUAAGUGAGGAUUAUGACAGUAACUUAUGAAUAAGGAUCGGCUAACUACGUG
Molecule: ribosomal RNA, 502 nt
Filed under: uncultured bacterium
Lineage: Bacteria
Description: partial 16S ribosomal RNA
Rfam family: Bacterial small subunit ribosomal RNA
Source: RNAcentral